This 765-nucleotide ribosomal RNA is filed under the name uncultured Streptococcus sp. Its description in RNAcentral is "bacterial SSU rRNA". It matches the Rfam family "Bacterial small subunit ribosomal RNA", at positions 28 to 776 of the family's 1533-position model. The record is from RNAcentral. Lineage: Bacteria; Bacillati; Bacillota; Bacilli; Lactobacillales; Streptococcaceae.
GACGAACGCUGGCGGCGUGCCUAAUACAUGCAAGUAGAACGCUGAAGAGAGGAGCUUGCUCUUCUUGGAAGAGUUGCGAACGGGUGAGUAACGCGUAGGUAACCCGCCUUGUAGCGGGGGAUAACUAUUGGAAACGAUAGCUAAUACCGCAUAACAAUGGGUGACCCAUGUCAUUCAUUUAAAAGGGGCAACUGCUCCACUACAAGAUGGACCUGCGUUGUAUUAGCUAGUAGGUGAGGUAACGGCUCACCUAGGCGACGAUACAUAGCCGACCUGAGAGGGUGAUCGGCCACACUGGGACUGAGACACGGCCCAGACUCCUACGGGAGGCAGCAGUAGGGAAUCUUCGGCAAUGGGGGCAACCCUGACCGAGCAACGCCGCGUGAGUGAAGAAGGUUUUCGGAUCGUAAAGCUCUGUUGUAAGUCAAGAACGAGUGUGAGAGUGGAAAGUUCACACUGUGACGGUAGCUUACCAGAAAGGGACGGCUAACUACGUGCCAGCAGCCGCGGUAAUACGUAGGUCCCGAGCGUUGUCCGGAUUUAUUGGGCGUAAAGCGAGCGCAGGCGGUUUGAUAAGUCUGAAGUUAAAGGCUGUGGCUCAACCAUAGUUUGCUUUGGAAACUGUCAAACUUGAGUGCAGAAGGGGAGAGUGGAAUUCCAUGUGUAGCGGUGAAAUGCGUAGAUAUAUGGAGGAACACCGGUGGCGAAAGCGGCUCUCUGGUCUGUAACUGACGCUGAGGCUCGAAAGCGUGGGGAGCGAACAGG